Long non-coding RNA from Oncorhynchus tshawytscha (Chinook salmon), 571 nucleotides. The record is from Ensembl. NCBI's taxonomy places the organism in Eukaryota, Metazoa, Chordata, Actinopteri, Salmoniformes, Salmonidae.
AUAGACAGGGUUAUAGACAGGGUUAUAGACAGGGUUAUAGACAGGGGUACACAGGGAUAUAGACAGGGUUAUAGACAGGGUUAUAGACAGGGGUACACAGGGUUAUAGACAGGGUUAUAGACAGGGGUAGACAGGGUUAUAGACAGGGGAUAGACAGGGUUAUAGACAGGGGUAGACAGGGUUAUAGACAGGGUUAUAGACAGGGGUAGACAGGGUUAUAGACAGGGGAUAGACAGGUUUAUAGACAGGGGAUAGACAGGGUUAUAGACAGGGCAUAGACAGGGAUAGACAGGGAAUAGACAGGGGAUAGACAGGGGAUAGACAGGGUUAUAGACAGGGAUAGACAGGGAUAGACAGGGAAUAGACAGGGGAUAGACAGGGGAUAGACAGGGUUAUAGAUAGGGGAUAGACAGGGAUAGACAGAUGGUAGACAGGGGAUAGACAGGGGACAGACAGUGGAUAGACAGGGAUAGACAGGGGAUAGACAGGGGAUAGACAGGGUUAUAGACAGGGUUAUAGACAGGGGGAUAGACAGGGUUAUAGACAGGGUUAUAGACAGGGAUAGACAGGG